CCUUGUACACACCGCCCGUCACGCCAUGGGAGUGGAUUGCACCAGAAGUAGGUAGGUUAACCGCAAGGGGCCGCUUACCACGGUGUGUUUCAUGACUGGGGUG
Molecule: ribosomal RNA, 103 nt
Filed under: uncultured bacterium
Lineage: Bacteria
Description: partial 16S ribosomal RNA
Rfam family: Bacterial small subunit ribosomal RNA
Source: RNAcentral